UCCUACCUACCUACCUUCCUUCCC
Molecule: non-coding RNA, 24 nt
Filed under: Rattus norvegicus (Norway rat)
Lineage: Eukaryota; Metazoa; Chordata; Mammalia; Rodentia; Muridae
Source: RNAcentral